Molecule: microRNA, 22 nt
Filed under: Homo sapiens (human)
Lineage: Eukaryota; Metazoa; Chordata; Mammalia; Primates; Hominidae
Description: hsa-miR-3667-3p
Source: miRBase by way of RNAcentral
ACCUUCCUCUCCAUGGGUCUUU